RNAcentral lists this ribosomal RNA (253 nucleotides) under uncultured bacterium. Its description in RNAcentral is "partial 16S ribosomal RNA". It matches the Rfam family "Bacterial small subunit ribosomal RNA", at positions 524 to 776 of the family's 1533-position model. The record is from RNAcentral.
GACGAACUGCCCAAACGUUGUUCGGAAUCACUGGGCUUAAAGGGCGCGUAGGCGGCAGAUCAAGUCAGGGGUGAAAUCCGGCAGCUCAACUGUCGAAGUGCCUUUGAUACUGAUUUGCUCGAGGGAGAUAGGGGUCUGUGGAACUUCUGGUGGAGCGGUGAAAUGCGUUGAUAUCAGAAGGAACGCCGGUGGCGAAAGCGACUUCCUGGACCAGUACCGACGUUCAGGCACGAAAGCGUGGGGAGCAAACAGG